AGGGAAUAUUGCGCAAUGGGCGAAAGCCUGACGCAGCGACACCGUGUGUAGGAUGAAAAUCUUCGGAUUGUAAACUACUGUCAGUUGAAGACGAAGGCAGUAGAGUUAAGAGCUCGAAUGUUGACGGUAUUCAAUUAGGAAGUCUCGGCUAACUCCGUGCCAGCAGCCGCGGUAAGACGGAGGAGGCAAGCAUUGUCCGGAAUUAUUGGGCGUAAAGAACACGUAGGCGGUUAAUCAAGUCAUAUGUGAAAACCUUGGGCUUAACUUAAGGAUUGCAUAUGAUACUGGUAAACUAGAGUAUAGUAGAGGAAAGCGGAAUUCCUGGUGUAGCGGUGAAAUGCGCAGAUAUCAGGAAGAACACCAGUGGCGAAAGCGGCUUUCUGGACUGUUACUGACGCUGAGGUGUGAAAGCUAGGGGAGCGAAC
This 425-nucleotide ribosomal RNA is filed under the name uncultured bacterium. Its description in RNAcentral is "bacterial SSU rRNA". It matches the Rfam family "Bacterial small subunit ribosomal RNA", at positions 356 to 773 of the family's 1533-position model. The record is from RNAcentral.